AGGUGCGAUCAUACCAGCACUAAUACACCGGAUCCCAUCAAAACUCUGCAGUUAAGCGUACAUGGGCGAGAGCAGUACUAGGAUGGGUGACCUCAUUGGAAGUCCUCGUGUUGCACCUA
Lupinus angustifolius (narrow-leaved blue lupine) is the source of this 119-nucleotide non-coding RNA. The record is from Rfam. Lineage: Eukaryota; Viridiplantae; Streptophyta; Magnoliopsida; Fabales; Fabaceae.